UUUAACUGAGCGUUCAGUUACUUGACGUAGACCCGAAACCGGGCGACCUACCCAUGAGCAGGAUGAAGCGAAAGUAAAAUUUCGUGGAGGUCCGAACCCACGAGCGUUGAAAAGCUCGGGGAUGACUUGUGGGUAGCGGUGAAAUUCCAAUCGAGCCCGGAGAUAGCUGGUUCUCCCCGAAAUAGCUUUAGGGCUAGCCUCAAGGUGAGAGAUACGGAGGUAGAGCACUGAAUGUCCUAGGGGGUAUUGCACCUACCGAAGACUAUCAAACUCCGAAUGCCGUCAUCUUAUACUUGGGAGUCAGACUGUGGGUGAUAAGAUUCAUAGUCGAAAGGGCAACAGCCCAGAUCGUCAGCUAAGGUCCCUAAAUGUAAGUUAAGUGGUAAAGGAUGUGGGAUUGCACAGACAACCAGGAUGUUGGCUUAGAAGCAGCCACUCAUUCAAAGAGUGCGUAAUAGCUCACUGGUCGAGUGAUCCUGCGCCGAAGAUUUCCGGGGCUAAAACUUACUACCGAAGCUACGGCAUCAGUAAUGAUGGGUAGGGGAGCUUCCCAUACGGGUUGAAGCAUGACCGUAAGGACAUGUGGACAGUAUGGGAGUGAGAAUGUUGGCAUGAGUAGCGAGAUGUGGGUGAGAAUCCCACAGGCCGUAAACCCAAG
Molecule: ribosomal RNA, 658 nt
Filed under: Clostridioides difficile
Lineage: Bacteria; Bacillati; Bacillota; Clostridia; Peptostreptococcales; Peptostreptococcaceae
Description: partial 23S ribosomal RNA
Rfam family: Bacterial large subunit ribosomal RNA
Source: RNAcentral